This 292-nucleotide ribosomal RNA is filed under the name uncultured bacterium. RNAcentral's name for it is "partial 16S ribosomal RNA". The record is from RNAcentral. RNAcentral also lists the same sequence under 1 other name.
GGACUACCAGGGUAUCUAAUCCUGUUUGCUCCCCUAGCUUUCGUGCCUCAGUGUCAGGAGUUGUCCAGGGACUCGCCUUCGCCACUGGUGUUCCUCUCGAUAUCUACGCAUUUCACUGCUACACCGAGAAUUCCAGUCCCCCCUCCAACCCUCAAGCCAGGUAGUUUCCAAUGCAGUUUCGGAGUUGAGCUCCGAGAUUUCACAUCCGACUUACCCGACCACCUACGCACCCUUUACGCCCAGUGAAUCCGAACAACGCUUGGGACCUCUGUAUUACCGCGGCUGCUGGCAC